Molecule: ribosomal RNA, 1272 nt
Filed under: Triticum aestivum (bread wheat)
Lineage: Eukaryota; Viridiplantae; Streptophyta; Magnoliopsida; Poales; Poaceae
Description: partial small subunit ribosomal RNA
Source: RNAcentral
AUGUUGCUUUUUUUGAGUAACACUGGCAUGUUCCUUUUUUUAGACAACCUCACCAAGCAUUAUUCAGUCAUCAAAAGUAAAUCAGCUGUUGGUAUAGUUUCAUGGCACAACCUCCACAACAACACUUUUAUCUUCAUGUUCCAGAGUGAAGUCCAAGCCCUUUCCUCAUCAGUAGUGUUCGACUGCCCACACAACAGGCUAGACCCAGAGGCGCCACCCGUCUCCGCCUCUAAUGCAAACCGCUCGCAAUGCCCCGGCGGCUUCCCCCUCCGGAUCCAUCUCCGUCGCGUCCUCCUCCUCCUCCUCCUUUGGAUCCUUCUCCGGCGCUGUCUCGGGCCUGUUUGCAGGGACCGGACCGGUAAUGGCAGGCCACGAGCCGGACUGAGAGGACCGUCAGGACCGGCCAAGACAUGGGCAGAGCGCGCUCUGGAGCUCCGGCGAGAGCAGUUCAUCGGGGACGCAAUGCUAGAGGAAGCGCAGCUCGUUGAAAAGAUGUCUGGGAGCUUCAGAAGAACCAGAGGGAGCUACAUGACGAAGAAGAACACUGGAGGGAGCUCAUCAGCGACGAAUCUGGCACGAUGGCCGGUGAACGGAGAUAAAAGGGACGACGACCGAUGCGGUGAUGUAGGACCUCCCAGAUCGAUUUCGUUGGCGGGGACGACGGACCCGAGUGUGGCGCGUCUAAUGGACAUAGUUUCUGGGGCCAUCGAGUCCAGUGGCCGCGCGGACGACGGCCCCGUGGCGAUGGACGUAGACGACGGCGGUGAGGGCUUUCUGAAUAAUGUUGGGGCGGUCUCGGUGCUGCUAGAGACGCCAUCCGGCUUCCCCGUCUUCUGCUUCUGUGGGCUCUUCCUCUACGCACCAGAUGCACUGCAGAGCGUGUGGGCAAACUUCGCUACUUGUACUAAGGAAAGAAACGUGAGUCUUCAUUUUCCUUCCCUUCUCAUCGUCACUGCUUCUUAUCCCUUUCCUCCUUACGGAGAUGAUCAUGAAAUCACCCGAACCUGGGCAGGAGCUACUACUUGGAAACCGGAAUAUAAACCUAUAAUUGAAAAAAGCUUGGGAAUACCCUGUCGGCAUGAUGAAUUUGUGAUGGAGGUAAUGUGGGGAUUAAAGCGUCUCAUGCCUAGUUUGGUGCGUAGAGAAAAAUCAGAGCUGCCUAAAGAGGACCUGCUCCCUAUGAGUCAGGGGCUACAAAUGCUGUUGAGUCGUUAUGGCUUUGAUGUCAAACCAGAGAUGGUGAGCAGAUUUGGAUGCAAUAAUAUUUUGUAG